AACGUAGGACGCAAGCGUUAUCCGGAGUUACUGGGCGUAAAGCGUGCGCAGGCGGUUCGUUAAGUCAGAUGUGAAAGCCCCGGGCUCAACCUGGGAACUGCAUUUGAAACUGGCGGGCUUGAGUAUGGCAGAGGGGGGUGGAAUUCCGCGUGUAGCAGUGAAAUGCGUAGAGAUGCGGAGGAACACCGAUGGCGAAGGCAGCCCCCUGGGCCAAUACUGACGCUCAGGCACGAAAGCGUGGGGAGCAAACAGG
RNAcentral lists this ribosomal RNA (253 nucleotides) under uncultured bacterium. Its description in RNAcentral is "partial 16S ribosomal RNA". It matches the Rfam family "Bacterial small subunit ribosomal RNA", at positions 524 to 776 of the family's 1533-position model. The record is from RNAcentral.